AGAGUUUGAUCAUGGCUCAGGACGAACGCUGGCGGCGUGCUUAACACAUGCAAGUCGAACGGGGUCCAUCCCUUCGGGGAGAAGACCUAGUGGCGAACGGGUGAGUAACACGUGGGCAACCUACCUCGGAAACCGGGAUAACAGCCGGAAACGGCUGCUAAUACCGGAUAAGCCUGUAGGGUCGCAUGGCCUAGCAGGAAAACGGUCCGCCGUUCCGAGAUGGGCCCGCGGCUGAUUAGCUUGUUGGUGAGGUAACGGCCCACCAAGGCGACGAUCAGUAGCCGAGCUGAGAGGCUGACCGGCCACACUGGGACUGAGACACGGCCCAGACUCCUACGGGAGGCAGCAGUGGGGAAUCUUGCGCAAUGGGCGAAAGCCUGACGCAGCAACGCCGCGUGCGGGAUGAAGGCCUUCGGGUUGUAAACCGCUGUCAAGAGGGACGAAGCGAAAGUGACGGUACCUCUAGAGGAAGCCCCGGCUAACUACGUGCCAGCAGCCGCGGUAAUACGUAGGGGGCGAGCGUUGUCCGGAUUCAUUGGGCGUAAAGCGCGCGUAGGCGGCUUGUCAAGUCGGAUGUGAAAACCGGGGGCUUAACCCGCGGACUGCAUUCGAAACUGGCAGGCUGGAGUCCGGUAGAGGAAAGUGGAAUUCCUAGUGUAGCGGUGAAAUGCGCAGAUACUAGGAAGAACACCAGUGGCGAAGGCGGCUUUCUGGGCCGCGACUGACGCUGAGGCGCGAAAGCUAGGGGAGCGAACAGGAUUAGAUACCCUGGUAGUCCUAGCCGUAAACGAUGGGCACUAGGUGUAGGCGGUUAUCAACGCCGUCUGUGCCGUAGCUAACGCAUUAAGUGCCCCGCCUGGGGAGUACGGCCGCAAGGCUAAAACUCAAAGGAAUUGACGG
This 900-nucleotide ribosomal RNA is filed under the name uncultured bacterium. RNAcentral describes it as "bacterial SSU rRNA". It matches the Rfam family "Bacterial small subunit ribosomal RNA", at positions 8 to 916 of the family's 1533-position model. The record is from RNAcentral.